CCUACGGGAGGCAGCAGUAGGGAAUAUUGCUCAAUGGGGGAAACCCUGAAGCAGCAACGCCGCGUGGAGGAUGAAGGUUUUCGGAUUGUAAACUCCUUUUGUUAGAGAAGAUAAUGACGGUAUCUAACGAAUAAGCACCGGCUAACUCCGUGCCAGCAGCCGCGGUAAUACGGAGGGUGCAAGCGUUACUCGGAAUCACUGGGCGGAAAGAGCGCGUAGGCGGGAUAGCAAGUCAGAUGUGAAAUCCUAUGGCUUAACCAUAGAACUGCAUUUGAAACUGUUAUUCUAGAGUAUGGGAGAGGUAGGUGGAAUGCUUGGUGUAGGGGUAAAAUCCGUAGAGAUCAAGAGGAAUACUCAUUGCGAAGGCGACCUGCUAGAACAUAACUGACGCUGAUGCGCGAAAGCGUGGGGAGCAAACAGGAUUAGAUACCCUAGUAGUC
This 440-nucleotide ribosomal RNA is filed under the name uncultured bacterium. Its description in RNAcentral is "partial 16S ribosomal RNA". It matches the Rfam family "Bacterial small subunit ribosomal RNA", at positions 338 to 795 of the family's 1533-position model. The record is from RNAcentral.